Molecule: ribosomal RNA, 468 nt
Filed under: uncultured bacterium
Lineage: Bacteria
Description: partial 16S ribosomal RNA
Rfam family: Bacterial small subunit ribosomal RNA
Source: RNAcentral
GACGAACGCUGGCGGCGUGCUUAACACAUGCAAGUCGAACGGAAAGGCCCUGCUUUUGUGGGGUGCUCGAGUGGCGAACGGGUGAGUAACACGUGAGUAACCUGCCCUUGACUUUGGGAUAACUUCAGGAAACUGGGGCUAAUACCGGAUAGGAGCUCCUGCUGCAUGGUGGGGGUUGGAAAGUUUCGGCGGUUGGGGAUGGACUCGCGGCUUAUCAGCUUGUUGGUGGGGUAGUGGCUUACCAAGGCUUUGACGGGUAGCCGGCCUGAGAGGGUGACCGGCCACAUUGGGACUGAGAUACGGCCCAGACUCCUACGGGAGGCAGCAGUGGGGAAUAUUGCACAAUGGGCGGAAGCCUGAUGCAGCAACGCCGCGUGCGGGAUGACGGCCUUCGGGUUGUAAACCGCUUUCGCCUGUGACGAAGCAUGAGUGACGGUAAUGGGUAAAGAAGCACCGGCUAACUACGUG